ACACCCUAUAUAAGCCAUAGAAAGUAUUAUGCAGGUGAGGACAAUAUUUUGGGCUCAGCUUCAAAUUAUAUUAAUCAAACCAACCUCUAGAUUUGACCAUAAAUAUACAAUGAUGAUCCAUAUAUUAUCUAUCAAUCACCCAUGAGCACUUUACGAACUUUACCAAACAUAAUCUACCGUAUACACGAAAAAGACUCCCAC
RNAcentral lists this long non-coding RNA (201 nucleotides) under Brassica napus (rape). Its description in RNAcentral is "long non-coding RNA (BNAP_LNC025921)". The record is from RNAcentral. Lineage: Eukaryota; Viridiplantae; Streptophyta; Magnoliopsida; Brassicales; Brassicaceae.